UGUGUGUGUGUGUGUAUAUG
Molecule: microRNA, 20 nt
Filed under: Corchorus capsularis
Lineage: Eukaryota; Viridiplantae; Streptophyta; Magnoliopsida; Malvales; Malvaceae
Description: sRNA CCACVL1_09171
Source: RNAcentral